This 483-nucleotide ribosomal RNA is filed under the name uncultured bacterium. RNAcentral's name for it is "partial 16S ribosomal RNA". It matches the Rfam family "Bacterial small subunit ribosomal RNA", at positions 28 to 507 of the family's 1533-position model. The record is from RNAcentral.
GAUGAACGCUGGCGGCGUGCCUAACACAUGCAAGUCGAACGGAGUCGUUUUGGAAAUCUCUUCGGAGAUGGAAUUCUCGACUUAGUGGCGGACGGGUGAGUAACGCGUGAGCAAUCUGCCUUUAAGAGGGGGAUAACAGUCGGAAACGGCUGCUAAUACCGCAUAAAGCAUUAAAUUCGCAUGUUUUUGAUGCCAAAGGAGCAAUCCGCUUUUAGAUGAGCUCGCGUCUGAUUAGCUAGUUGGCGGGGUAACGGCCCACCAAGGCGACGAUCAGUAGCCGGACUGAGAGGUUGAACGGCCACAUUGGGACUGAGACACGGCCCAGACUCCUACGGGAGGCAGCAGUGGGGAAUAUUGCGCAAUGGGGGAAACCCUGACGCAGCAACGCCGCGUGAUUGAAGAAGGCCUUCAGGUUGUAAAGAUCUUUAAUCAGGGACGAAACAAAUGACGGUACCUGAAGAAUAAGCUCCGGCUAACUACGUG